CCUACGGGUGGCAGCAGUGAGGAAUAUUGGUCAAUGGGCGGAAGCCUGAACCAGCCAAGUCGCGUGCAGGAUGACGGCCCUACGGGUUGUAAACUGCUUUUAUACGGGAAUAACGCGCGUUACGUGUAGGGCUUUGCAUGUACCGUAUGAAUAAGGAUCGGCUAAUUCCGUGCCAGCAGCCGCGGUAAUACGGAGGGUCCGGGCGUUAUCCGGAUUUAUUGGGUUUAAAGGGUGCGUAGGCGGCCUGUCAAGCGUGCGGUGAAAUGUCCGGGCUCAACCCGGGAAUUGCAGCGGAAACUGGGGGGCUUGAGUACGCGGAAGGCAGGCGGAAGUCGUGGUGUAGCGGUGAAAUGCUUAGAUAUGACGAAGAACCCCGAUUGCGAAGGCAGCUUGCUGCGGCGGAACUGACGCUGAUGCUCGAAAGCGCGGGUAUCGAACAGGAUUAGAUACCCUAGUAGUC
RNAcentral lists this ribosomal RNA (460 nucleotides) under uncultured bacterium. RNAcentral's name for it is "partial 16S ribosomal RNA". It matches the Rfam family "Bacterial small subunit ribosomal RNA", at positions 338 to 795 of the family's 1533-position model. The record is from RNAcentral.